Molecule: ribosomal RNA, 465 nt
Filed under: uncultured bacterium
Lineage: Bacteria
Description: bacterial SSU rRNA
Rfam family: Bacterial small subunit ribosomal RNA
Source: RNAcentral
CCUACGGGUUGCAGCAGUGGGGAAUAUUGCACAAUGGGCGCAAGCCUGAUGCAGCCAUGCCGCGUGUAUGAAGAAGGCCUUCGGGUUGUAAAGUACUUUCAGCGGGGAGGAAGGCGGUAAGGUUAACAACCUUGUCGAUCGACGUUACCCGCAGAAGAAGCACCGGCUAACUCCGUGCCAGCAGCCGCGGUAAUACGGAGGGUGCAAGCGUUAAUCGGAAUUACUGGGCGUAAAGCGCACGCAGGCGGUCUGUCAAGUCGGACGUGAAAUCCCCGGGCUCAACCUGGGAACUGCAUUCGAAACUGGCAGGCUGGAGUCUUGUAGAGGGGGGUGGAAUUCCAGGUGUAGCGGUGAAAUGCGUAGAGAUCUGGAGGAAUACCGGUGGCGAAGGCGGCCCCCUGGACAAAGACUGACGCUCAGGUGCGAAAGCGUGGGGAGCAAACAGGAUUAGAUACCCGCGUAGUC